Long non-coding RNA from Passer domesticus (house sparrow), 260 nucleotides. RefSeq lists it as uncharacterized. NCBI's taxonomy places the organism in Eukaryota, Metazoa, Chordata, Aves, Passeriformes, Passeridae. The record is from RefSeq and is a predicted model, not a curated record. The transcript has 2 exons.
GGCUGCUGUUUGCUGGUCGUAGUGGUUGAGCAGGUUGGGCAUGAAGGUGGGGUUGGAAAUACAAAUAAAUCAAUACAAAUAAAUACAGAUUGAUGAAGAAAUGAUAAAUUUUACCUCCAUGGCCAUGGCUGCUGUUUGCUGGUCGUAGUGGUUGAGCAGGUUGGGCAUGAAGGUGCUGUUGUAGGGCAGGUCCUGGCACAUCCUGAGCACGAUGGGCUCGCAGGAGAAGAGGCUGUGCCCCGCUGCGGGGCCCCCCCAGA